This 139-nucleotide ribosomal RNA is filed under the name uncultured bacterium. Its description in RNAcentral is "partial 16S ribosomal RNA". It matches the Rfam family "Bacterial small subunit ribosomal RNA", at positions 355 to 509 of the family's 1533-position model. The record is from RNAcentral.
UGGGGAAUAUUGCACAAUGGGCGAAAGCCUGAUGCAGCAACGCCGCGUGAAGGAAGAAGGCCUUCGGGUCGUAAACUUCUGUCCUUGGGGAAGAAGAACUGACGGUACCCAAGGAGGAAGCCCCGGCUAACUACGUGCC